AAGUGACUAACCACGCUGGGAGAUGCCUCACAGACCGGGUGCUGUUCCAGAUGAGCUUGGAAAGUGACCUUGAGGACACCUCCCCCAAAAAAGACUGAAGAACCUUCUUGGGAAGAAUUCUCUCCACUCUGAAGAAAAAGAAGUUUAAGCCUUCUCCCCAAGCCUUCCAGAUGAGCAAGAUGAGGCUUACAGUUGGUGAGUAACCUGGGUGAGGUCAUCUAGCCUGAAAGAGCCUGCUAUGUGAUGUAGGAGCGCCCCCAACCCCGAACCACCCACUCUAUGCAGCCGCUGGAGGAAGACACCUGGUGAGGCAGAGGUGCGGGGGGGAGGGGGUGGUAAAAAUAGAGGAAGCGAAGCCUAGGUCUCUUCCUCU
This is a long non-coding RNA of Neogale vison (American mink), 373 nucleotides long. RefSeq lists it as uncharacterized. The transcript has 3 exons. The record is from RefSeq and is a predicted model, not a curated record. NCBI's taxonomy places the organism in Eukaryota, Metazoa, Chordata, Mammalia, Carnivora, Mustelidae.